CGCAUCUGUGCAUGCAGCAUAUCAAUAAGCGGAGGAAAAGAAACUAACAAGGAUUCCCCUAGUAACGGCGAGUGAAGCGGGAAGAGCUCAAAUUUGAAAUCUUAAAGGGUUUCCCUUUACGAAUUGUAGUUUAAAGAAGUGUUCUCUGUUGAGGUUUUGGUAAAAGUUCUUUGGAAUAGGACAUCAUAGAGGGUGAGAAUCCCGUAUUUGACCUUUACUUUCAACUUUGUGAUACACUUUCAAAGAGUCGGAUUGUUUGGGAAUGCAGUCCAAAAUGGGUGGUAAAUUUCAUCUAAAGCUAAAUAUUGGCGAGAGACCGAUAGCGAACAAGUACCGUGAGGGAAAGAUGAAAAGAACUUUGAAAAGAGAGUUAAACAGUACGUGAAAUUGUCAAAAGGGAAGCGUUUGACACCAGUGUUGUUUUUCUGAAAAUCAAUUAGAGAACUGUUUAUGCUAAGCUGUUUAGACUUUAUCAGCUAACUGUUUAGUUUUGAGCUUUUCUUUAAUGCACUUUUCAGUUAACAAGUCAACAUCAAUUUCUUUUGCUGUAAAAAAGCUUGAGGAAGGUGGCUUGAGAUUUCGGUCUUAAGUGUUUAUAGCCUUUUAUCUCUGCAGUCGGGGAGAUUGAGGUCUGCAGCGUAGAUCCUUCGGGGCUAGAUACAUUUAUGCUAAGUUAUAGCUUUUCAUAGACAACUUGUUGACUAUGUUAAGUCUUGUAGCUUACUCGCUUAUGCUAUUUUACCUACGCUUAGGAUGUUGAGCGCAUGUCUCUCUCU
Molecule: ribosomal RNA, 776 nt
Filed under: uncultured Neocallimastigales
Lineage: Eukaryota; Fungi; Neocallimastigomycota; Neocallimastigomycetes; Neocallimastigales
Description: partial large subunit ribosomal RNA
Rfam family: Eukaryotic large subunit ribosomal RNA
Source: RNAcentral